GUGAGGAAUUUUCCGCAAUGGGCGAAAGCCUGACGGAGCAAUGCCGCGUGUGUGAAGAAGGCCUUUUGGUUGUAAAGCACUUUAAGCGAGGAGGAGGCUACCGAGAUUAAUACUCUUGGAUAGUGGACGUUACUCGCAGAAUAAGCACCGGCUAACUCUGUGCCAGCAGCCGCGGUAAUACAGAGGGUGCAAGCGUUAAUCGGAUUUACUGGGCGUAAAGCGCGCGUAGGUGGCCAAUUAAGUCAAAUGUGAAAUCCCCGAGCUUAACUUGGGAAUUGCAUUCGAUACUGGUUGGCUAGAGUAUGGGAGAGGAUGGUAGAAUUCCAGGUGUAGCGGUGAAAUGCGUAGAGAUCUGGAGGAAUACCGAUGGCGAAGGCAGCCAUCUGGCCUAAUACUGACACUGAGGUGCGAAAGCAUGGGGAGCAAACAGGAUUAGAUACCCUAGUAGUCC
Molecule: ribosomal RNA, 451 nt
Filed under: uncultured bacterium
Lineage: Bacteria
Description: partial 16S ribosomal RNA
Rfam family: Bacterial small subunit ribosomal RNA
Source: RNAcentral